ACGGAGGGUGCAAGCGUUGUUCGGAAUCACUGGGCGUAAAGGGCGCGUAGGCGGUUUGAUAAGUCAGAUGUGAAAGCCAACGGCUUAACUGUGGAAGUGCAUUUGAAAUUGUCAUACUUGAGUAUCAGAGGGGAAGGUGGAAUUCGUGGUGUAGAGGUGAAAUUCAUAGAUAUCAGGAGGAAUACCGAUUGCGAAGGCAGCUUUCUAGCUGAAUACUGACGCUGAUGCGCGAAAGCGUGGGGAUCAAACAG
Molecule: ribosomal RNA, 251 nt
Filed under: uncultured prokaryote
Description: partial 16S rRNA
Rfam family: Bacterial small subunit ribosomal RNA
Source: RNAcentral